RNAcentral lists this small RNA (645 nucleotides) under Arabidopsis thaliana (thale cress). Its description in RNAcentral is "ATSL280680". Lineage: Eukaryota; Viridiplantae; Streptophyta; Magnoliopsida; Brassicales; Brassicaceae. The record is from RNAcentral.
AAAUAUGGUUAGUUUAGAGAUAUUAGAUAUAUUAAAUUUGGUAAUUAAAUAAUUAAUUUCUUUUUUAAUUAUUGUUUUUGUAGAAAAUGUUAGCUUUUCCAAGAAUUAAUGUUAUUCGGGAUCCGAAAACAAUAAAACCCGGUAAAGAACCUGACCCAUUAAAGUUAUUCAAGAUCCGAAUAAAAUUAAGGCAGAUUUACAAAAUUACCCUUUUUUUACUACCCUUUUGCAAGAAUACCUUUUUAUAUGGUUUAUUUUUAAGAAUAUCCCUUUCUUUGAACAGAAUGACCAAAUUACCCUCAUCUAAUAAGAACAUAUAAUUGGAAACUGAAAGUUUCCCGCCAAAUUUUUGGCGCCAAAAUUUAUUUUUCCCGCCAAAAAAAAUUUCUACCAAACUUUUUUUCCCGCCAAAAAAAAAGUUUCCCGCCAAAAAAUUUUCUCGUAAAUAUUUUUUUCCCAGCCAAAAAAAUGCUUUUAAAAAUCCUUGUAAAUUUUUUAAAAACUCUUUUAAAAAACCUUGUAAAGUUUUUUAAAAGCUUUGAUAGUUGCUAAAAACUCUUGUAAAUCAUUUUAAAACCUCUUAAAAUCUUUCUAAAGUCUUUAAAAACAUAGGUAAAUACUUUAAAACCCCUUUUUAAACCUUUG